RNAcentral lists this long non-coding RNA (1250 nucleotides) under Malus domestica (apple). RNAcentral's name for it is "long non-coding RNA (MDOM_LNC019627)". The record is from RNAcentral. Lineage: Eukaryota; Viridiplantae; Streptophyta; Magnoliopsida; Rosales; Rosaceae.
UAAAGAGACAAAACAAUUUUGUUCUCUACUUAAUUUGGGCCAAUAUGCAAUAACCACAACUUUUUGGGCCAUAAAGCAAUUAACCUCAACUUUUGGGCUAUAUUGCAAAACUUUUGGGGUCACUUUGUAAAAACACAAAAGUCCACUACUUCAUGUAAUUACACUACAACCCAAAAUUUAAUCAAUGCAAAAACUUCAUUAAAGGAGCAAAACAAUUUGUCCUUUAGCGUUUUUGGACCUAAACGUAAAAACGUAAACUUUUGGGCCAAAGUGCAAAUACACAAAAGUAUCAAAACUUUAUGUAAUUGCAUAAAAAAACCCAAAAGUACUCCCAUUGAGGGAGGGCCGGUUUUUAGAGAGGGAAAGGGAGUGGAGAUAAGUCCACAAAAAUUUGGAAAUUUUUUCAACAAUUUCAUAAAGCCUUGCAAGUGGAAUUUGUGACAUAAAUUCAUGCAAGUGGAAUUUGUGACAUAAGAGAAGUACUUCUUACACACCUAUCACCAUUUCCAUCACCUUACACAAUUUCUAUCACAUUAAAACAUGUGAUAAAGCACAAAACAAAGACUUUAUGAAAUAAAUCAAAACUUUGAAUCAAAACACAAACAUUUUUGUUCUUGGCAAAAAUGUCAAGAACAAUGAAGAACACUCAUGAAAAAACUCAAAAUUUUCCAUGAACAUUUUUCACCCAAAAACAUUCCAAAACCAUUCAAACUUUAGGGAAAUAACAUCUAACCAAACUAGGGUACAUAGGGGUUCCAAAAGUCACUUGAAAACACUUUUAACAAGUCAAACAAGAACCCAAAAAUCCACCCUUUGGAUUUGGCCGAAAAUCCCCAAAGUCAUGGCACCAAAUUUUAGCUCCAAUAUUCAUGCUCAUAUGAACUACAUCUACAACAUUUGAGAUGACAAAUUUUCAAACAAAAUUUACAUUCAAAGAAGCAAGAAUAAAGCUUGUAACAAUUACAACUUUUAAAUCACAAACUAUGAACUACAAAACACAAAAGGAUUUACCAACUACUAGACCUAGGCUCUGAUACCACUUGAAGGAUUAUUUUGUGAAAACAUGUUCAUUUAAGUAACAUCAAUAAGCAUGCAAUUAACAAUUAAAGGCGGAAUCAUGCUUGCAUGCACUUAAAAACAAAAAAUUAACCAUGAAAUUCAAAGCCUAGUAGAUUGGUGAACCAAGACUCAACUCAAAUCAAAGUGAGUUGAAAUUUAUACCUUUGUAGAUUCCUCUUUGCAUAAGCAAA